This 432-nucleotide ribosomal RNA is filed under the name uncultured bacterium. RNAcentral describes it as "bacterial SSU rRNA". It matches the Rfam family "Bacterial small subunit ribosomal RNA", at positions 335 to 755 of the family's 1533-position model. The record is from RNAcentral.
ACUCCUACGGGAGGCAGCAGUGGGGAAUAUUGCACAAUGGGCGCAAGCCUGAUGCAGCCAUGCCGCGUGUAUGAAGAAGGCCUUCGGGUUGUAAAGUACUUUCAGCAGUGAGGAAGGCGGAGUCGUUAAUAGCGGCCUCGUUUGACGUUAGCUGCAGAAGAAGCACCGGCUAACUCCGUGCCAGCAGCCGCGGUAAUACGGAGGGUGCGAGCGUUAAUCGGAAUUACUGGGCGUAAAGCGCAUGCAGGUGGUUUGUUAAGUCAGAUGUGAAAGCCCGGGGCUCAACCUCGGAAUUGCAUUUGAAACUGGCAAGACUAGAGUACUGUAAGAGGGGGGUAGAAUUUCAGGUGUAGCGGUGAAAUAGCGUAAGAGAUCUGAAGGAAUACCGGUGGCGAAGGCGGCCCCCUGGACAGAUACUGACACUCAGAUGCG